GUCCACGCAGUAAACGAUGAUUACUCGCUGUUUGCGAUACACAGUAAGCGGCUUAGCGAAAGCGUUAAGUAAUCCACCUGGGGAGUACGUUCGCAAGAAUGAAACUCAAAGGAAUUGACGGGGGCCCGCACAAGCGGAGGAACAUGUGGUUUAAUUCGAUGAUACGCGAGGAACCUUACCCGGGCUUGAAAUGCAUUUUGACCGGCUCAGAGACGAGCCUUCCCUUCGGGGCAAAUGUGUAGGUGCUGCAUGGUUGUCGU
RNAcentral lists this ribosomal RNA (260 nucleotides) under uncultured bacterium. RNAcentral describes it as "partial 16S ribosomal RNA". It matches the Rfam family "Bacterial small subunit ribosomal RNA", at positions 793 to 1055 of the family's 1533-position model. The record is from RNAcentral.